GAUGAAGAACGUAGCGAAACGCGAUAAGUAAUGUGAAUUGCAGAAUCCAGUGAAUCAUCGAAUCUUUGAACGCACAUUGCGCCCGCCAGCAUUCUGGCGGGCAUGCCUGUUCGAGCGUCAUUUCAACCCUCGACCUCCCCUUGGGGAGGUCGGCGUUGGGGACCGGCAGCACACCGCCGGCCCUGAAAUGGAGUGGCGGCCCGUCCGCGGCGACCUCUGCGCAGUAAUACAGCUCGCACCGGGACCCCGACGCGGCCACGCCGUAAAACACCCAACUUCUGAACGUUGACCUCGAAUCAGGUAGGACUACCCGCUGAACUUAAGCAUAUCAAUACGGAGG
This 340-nucleotide unclassified non-coding RNA is filed under the name soil metagenome. RNAcentral's name for it is "partial contains 5.8S ribosomal RNA, internal transcribed spacer 2, and large subunit ribosomal RNA". The stretch from base 1 to 120 matches the Rfam family "5.8S ribosomal RNA", at positions 35 to 154 of the family's 154-position model. The record is from RNAcentral.